This 387-nucleotide ribosomal RNA is filed under the name uncultured bacterium. RNAcentral describes it as "partial 16S ribosomal RNA". It matches the Rfam family "Bacterial small subunit ribosomal RNA", at positions 29 to 416 of the family's 1533-position model. The record is from RNAcentral.
AUUGAACGCUGGCGGCAUGCUUUAUACAUGCAAGUCGUGCGGCAGCGCGGGGGCAACUCUGGCGGCGAGCGGCGAACGGGUGAGUAAUACAUAGGAACGUAUCCUGAAAGUGGGGGAUAGCUCGGCGAAAGCCGGAUUAAUACCGCAUACGCUCCACGGAGGAAAGCGAGGGGAUCGCAAGACCUUGCGUUUCUGGAGCGGCCUAUGUCUGAUUAGCUAGNGGCGGGGUAAUAGCCCACCAAGGCGACGAUCAGUAGCUGGUCUGAGAGGAUGAUCAGCCACACUGGGACUGAGACACGGCCCAGACUCCUACGGGAGGCAGCAGUAGGGAAUUUUGGACAAGUGGGGCAACCCUGAUCCAGCCAUGCCGCGUGAGUGAAGAAGGCC